CUGGCAUAUUCCCCUUCGGUGCAGUUCCGGUCACGGUCGGCAGGGGCGCUGUAGAGUGGCAUCCAGUGGGCAGGGCCGGUGCGGUGAUUCCCCCGCGUCUGCAGGGGGCGCUGUGGCGCGAGCCCGGGAAGCACGUGGUAACGAGACGGGAAGGGAUAGAAGAGAGAAGAGAGGCUUCGCUUCACAAACCCUGGGGUGGCCGAUCCCGUGCUCCAGGAGGGCUCUCAGAAGCAGCAAGCCGGGAUGGCAGGAUGUCUCGGAAGGCAGAGUCAGAGGGUAUUGGGCUACAGUGCAGUGAAAACUCGGAGCAGUGCCGAAGAAGCAGUGGGAGCAGAGCAGCAAUAGCCCAGCAGGGCAGGGAGAGGCAAGCUCAUGAUCCUGGGUACCCAAGCAGAUGAGACAAUUUUGCAGCCCUUCAACUGAUGGAUCAUCCCUCAUCCCAACACACCUAUCACAUGCACAGUGACUCUACCUCAUCAACUGAAUGCAACCAGGCUACAUAGGAGGACAGUAGGAAACUCAGAAUAAUACCUGUCUUGUGGGAAGCACUACAGUGAGGGAUUUGUUUCUAGAUGGGCAGCUUCUAGGAAAAAAACCCACCCAAAGUCACCUUUAACUCUAU
This is a long non-coding RNA of Vidua macroura (Pin-tailed whydah), 622 nucleotides long. RefSeq lists it as uncharacterized. The record is from RefSeq and is a predicted model, not a curated record. NCBI's taxonomy places the organism in Eukaryota, Metazoa, Chordata, Aves, Passeriformes, Viduidae. The transcript is spliced from 4 exons.